UUUUGUUUUUAUUUUCUCAGUCUUUUUUUAUUUUUUAUUUAAUUUGUGUAUUUGAUUUUAGUUUUGUUUCUUUGUUUUCAUUAUUUUUAUAUUAUUUUUUAUAAUUAUUUUUUAUAUUUAUAAUCUUUUGUUUAUUUUUUAAUUGUACAUUUUAGGAGUCAUUAUUUAUAAAAAUUUAAAGAAGUAUAAAAAGAUGGAUGAAAAUAUUUAUUUAGCCAUAUGUUCAAAGAAGAGUACAUACAAUAAUACACAAAAAAAGUU
Molecule: long non-coding RNA, 261 nt
Filed under: Actinidia chinensis (golden kiwifruit)
Lineage: Eukaryota; Viridiplantae; Streptophyta; Magnoliopsida; Ericales; Actinidiaceae
Description: long non-coding RNA (ACHI_LNC004912)
Source: RNAcentral